Molecule: ribosomal RNA, 442 nt
Filed under: uncultured Eubacteriales bacterium
Lineage: Bacteria; Bacillati; Bacillota; Clostridia; Eubacteriales
Description: bacterial SSU rRNA
Rfam family: Bacterial small subunit ribosomal RNA
Source: RNAcentral
UUCCUACGGGCGGCAGCAGCAAGGAAUUUUGGGCAAUGGGGGAAACCCUGACCCAGCGACGCCGCGUGAGCGAAGAAGGCCUUCGGGUCGUAAAGCUCUGUCUUUGGGGACGAAUGGGACGGUACCCAAAGAGGAAGCCCCGGCUAACUACGUGCCAGCAGCCGCGGUAAUACGUAGGGGGCGAGCGUUGUCCGGAAUUAUUGGGCGUAAAGGGCGAGUAGGCGGCUUUGCAAGUCGGGUGUGAAACCCCAAGGCUCAACCUUGGUCAUGCAUCCGAAACUGCAGGGCUUGAGGUCAGAAGAGGAGAGCGGAAUUCCCGGUGUAGCGGUGAAAUGCGUAGAGAUCGGGAGGAACACCAGUGGCGAAGGCGGCUCUCUGGUCUGCACCUGACGCUGAGUCGCGAAAGCUAGGGGAGCAAACGGGAUUAGAUACCCCUGUAGUC